Molecule: ribosomal RNA, 467 nt
Filed under: uncultured bacterium
Lineage: Bacteria
Description: partial 16S ribosomal RNA
Rfam family: Bacterial small subunit ribosomal RNA
Source: RNAcentral
GAUGAACGCUGGCGGCGUGCUUAACACAUGCAAGUCGAACGGAAAGGCCCAAGCUUGCUUGGGUACUCGAGUGGCGAACGGGUGAGUAACACGUGGGUGAUCUGCCCUGCACUUCGGGAUAAGCCUGGGAAACUGGGUCUAAUACCGGAUAGGACCACUUCUUGGAUGUUGUGGUGGAAAGUUUUUUCGGUGUGGGAUGAGCUCGCGGCCUAUCAGCUUGUUGGUGGGGUAAUGGCCUACCAAGGCGUCGACGGGUAGCCGGCCUGAGAGGGUGUACGGCCACAUUGGGACUGAGAUACGGCCCAGACCCCUACGGGAGGCAGCAGUGGGGAAUAUUGCACAAUGGGCGCAAGCCUGAUGCAGCGACGACGCGUGGGGGAUGACGGCCUUCGGGUUGUAAACUCCUUUCGAUAGGGACGAAGCGUUUUGUGACGGUACCUGGAGAAGAAGCACCGGCUAACUACGUG